This is a long non-coding RNA of Amphimedon queenslandica, 163 nucleotides long. RefSeq lists it as uncharacterized. The transcript is spliced from 3 exons. NCBI's taxonomy places the organism in Eukaryota, Metazoa, Porifera, Demospongiae, Haplosclerida, Niphatidae. The record is from RefSeq and is a predicted model, not a curated record.
CUAGAACUGAUGUUGUGGAUACAUCAUACAGUGGUACCACUCCAUUACACUGUGCUAUUGAAACUGGUAACAGUAAAAUUAUCAAAUUAUUGAUAAGUAAAGGAAAUGCUGAUGUGAAUGCUGUGGAUAAGAACAACAGAACUCCAUUGUUUGAUGCUGUUAG